Molecule: ribosomal RNA, 245 nt
Filed under: uncultured bacterium
Lineage: Bacteria
Description: partial 16S ribosomal RNA
Rfam family: Bacterial small subunit ribosomal RNA
Source: RNAcentral
UACGUAGGGUGCGAGCGUUAAUCGGAAUUACUGGGCGUAAAGCGUGCGCAGGCGGUUUGAUAAGACAGGCGUGAAAUCCCCGGGCUUAACCUGGGAACUGCGCUUGUGACUGUCUCACUAGAGUACGGCAGAGGGGGGUGGAAUUCCACGUGUAGCAGUGAAAUGCGUAGAGAUGUGGAGGAACACCGAUGGCGAAGGCAGCCCCCUGGGCCGAUACUGACGCUCAUGCACGAAAGCGUGGGGAG